AGUGAACGCUGGCGGUAGGCCUAACACAUGCAAGUCGAACGGCAGCACAGUAAGAGCUUGCUCUUACGGGUGGCGAGUGGCGGACGGGUGAGGAAUACAUCGGAAUCUACUUUUUCGUGGGGGAUAACGUAGGGAAACUUACGCUAAUACAGCAUACGAUCUACGGGUGAAAGCAGGGGAUCUUCGGACCUUGCGCGAUUGAAUUAGCCGAUGUCGGAUUAGCUAGUUGGCGGGGUAAAGGCCCACCAAGGCGACGAUCCGUAGCUGGACUGAGAGGAUGAUCAGCCACACUGGAACUGAGACACGGUCCAGACUCCUACGGGAGGCAGCAGUGGGGAAUAUUGGACAAUGGGCGCAAGCCUGAUCCAGCCAUACCGCGUGGGUGAAGAAGGCCUUCGGGUUGUAAAGCCCUUUUGUUGGGAAAGAAAAGCAGCAGGUUAAUACCCCGCUGUUCUGACGGUACCCAAAGAAUAAGCACCGGCUAACUUCGUG
Molecule: ribosomal RNA, 492 nt
Filed under: uncultured bacterium
Lineage: Bacteria
Description: partial 16S ribosomal RNA
Rfam family: Bacterial small subunit ribosomal RNA
Source: RNAcentral